This 254-nucleotide ribosomal RNA is filed under the name uncultured bacterium. Its description in RNAcentral is "partial 16S ribosomal RNA". It matches the Rfam family "Bacterial small subunit ribosomal RNA", at positions 524 to 776 of the family's 1533-position model. The record is from RNAcentral.
UACAGAGGGUGCGAGCGUUGUCCGGAAUCACUGGGCGUAAAGGGCGCGUAGGCGGCCUGGUAAGUAGGGGGUGAAAUCUCAUGGCUCAACUGUGAGGCUGCCUUCUAGACUGCCGGGCUUGAGCAUGGUAGAGGCUGGUGGAAUUCCCGGUGUAGCGGUGGAAUGCGUAGAGUUCGGGAAGAACAUCCGUGGCGAAGGCGGCCAGCUGGGCCAUCUGCUGACGAUGAGGCGCGAAAGAGUGGGGAGCAAACAGG